This is a long non-coding RNA of Rosa chinensis, 447 nucleotides long. RefSeq lists it as uncharacterized. The record is from RefSeq and is a predicted model, not a curated record. The transcript is spliced from 3 exons. NCBI's taxonomy places the organism in Eukaryota, Viridiplantae, Streptophyta, Magnoliopsida, Rosales, Rosaceae.
CAAAUUCUUGGUCUGGCAGUGGUCAUGUUUGGCCACACUGGGCAAUACCAAACCAGUACCAAAGAUAGAUCUGCAUCCUGUCAUCAAGGUGCUAUUUUUCAAAUGCAGCAGCAGCACUGAGUCUCAACUAAGGUGUAUUCAUUUGAGAGGCAACUUCCAUCCUUGAAGAACAAGGGAACAACCAAUUGGAUAUUGCAGGUUCAAUUGAUGACAAACAUGCGAAAUUUCCACAUUAAUUUGGAUGUAGAAAGCUACUUUACAUACUGUACAUGCCCAUAUCACUACUUUGAAUAAUAAAAAUUUUCUGACAUUAGAAUAUAAAUUUUUUGUGUAAACAUUUACAUCAGCUAUGAUGUUUAUUUGUUAUGAGUGAAAGGUACUUUUAAUACACAUGCAAAUGGUGUUUACUUGCUAGAUCCCUGUGAAGUGAAAGAUCAGAACCUCUUA